RNAcentral lists this ribosomal RNA (489 nucleotides) under Bacillus licheniformis. Its description in RNAcentral is "bacterial SSU rRNA". It matches the Rfam family "Bacterial small subunit ribosomal RNA", at positions 326 to 805 of the family's 1533-position model. Lineage: Bacteria; Bacillati; Bacillota; Bacilli; Caryophanales; Bacillaceae. The record is from RNAcentral.
CCGGCCCAGACUCCUACGGGAGGCAGCAGUAGGGAAUCUUCCGCAAUGGACGAAAGUCUGACGGAGCAACGCCGCGUGAGUGAUGAAGGUUUUCGGAUCGUAAAACUCUGUUGUUAGGGAAGAACAAGUACCGUUCGAAUAGGGCGGUACCUUGACGGUACCUAACCAGAAAGCCACGGCUAACUACGUGCCAGCAGCCGCGGUAAUACGUAGGUGGCAAGCGUUGUCCGGAAUUAUUGGGCGUAAAGCGCGCGCAGGCGGUUUCUUAAGUCUGAUGUGAAAGCCCCCGGCUCAACCGGGGAGGGUCAUUGGAAACUGGGGAACUUGAGUGCAGAAGAGGAGAGUGGAAUUUCCACGUGUAGCGGUGAAAUGCGUAGAGAUGUGGAGGAACACCAGUGGCGAAGGCGACUCUCUGGUCUGUAACUGACGCUGAGGCGCGAAAGCGUGGGGAGCGAACAGGAUUAGAUACCCUGGUAGUCCACGCCGUAA